Molecule: long non-coding RNA, 295 nt
Organism: Zophobas morio
Lineage: Eukaryota; Metazoa; Arthropoda; Insecta; Coleoptera; Tenebrionidae
Exons: 3
Source: RefSeq, a predicted model, not a curated record
GGCGGCCUCGUGGUCUAUGAAAUGCCUUUUUAUACUUAAAAGUAUGACUUAAAACCUGUAAAAAACCCGUACAGUAUGUAUGGUUUUUACAAUCGUUGUUACAGAUAUAAAAAGAUACUGCCAAAGUUUAUUGCAUGAAGAAAGAGAGAGAAAAGAAUACCAAGUCCCUAAUCCCCCAAUAAUUUAUAUUUAUUUUUAUUACCCCUGCUUUGUUCAAUUUCAGAAGUGACUUGAAACGUGUAGAAAGCUCGGACAGAAUUAUUUAUAAACUUUAUUACUAAACUAGAAACCUUGC